RNAcentral lists this ribosomal RNA (403 nucleotides) under uncultured bacterium. RNAcentral's name for it is "partial 16S ribosomal RNA". It matches the Rfam family "Bacterial small subunit ribosomal RNA", at positions 28 to 526 of the family's 1533-position model. The record is from RNAcentral.
GACGAACGCUGGCGGCGUGCCUAAUACAUGCAAGUCGAACGCAGUGGGGACGGGUGAGUAACACGUGGGUAACCUCCCAUCAGAAGGGAUAACACUUGGAAACAGGUGCUAAACCGAUACUGAUGGAUGAACCCGCGGUUCAUUUGCUAGUUGGUGAGGUAACGGCUCACCAAUGCCACGAUGCAUAGCCGAACGGAGAGCGUGAGCGGCCACACUGGGACGUGGACCCGGCCCAGACUCCGACGGGAGGAAGCAGUAGGGAAUCUUCGGCAAUUGACGAAAGUAUGACGGAGAAACGCCGCGUGAGGGAAGAAGGUUUUCGGAUCUUAAAACUCUGUUGUUAGAGAAGCGGUAUCUAACCAGAAAGCCACGGCUAACUACGUGCCAGCAGCCGCGGUAAUAC